This 46-nucleotide non-coding RNA is filed under the name Schistosoma haematobium. Lineage: Eukaryota; Metazoa; Platyhelminthes; Trematoda; Strigeidida; Schistosomatidae. The record is from RNAcentral.
GCACUGCUGAAGAGUCCCAUAAUAGGACGACACCGUCGUCCAGUAC